UACGGAAGGCAGCAGUGGGGAAGUAUUGCACAAUGGGCGAAAGCCUGAUGCAGCUAUGCCGCGUGUAUGAAGAAGGCCUUAGGGUUGUAAAGUACUUUCAUCGGGGAGGAAAAAACAAAACUAAUAAUUUUAUUUCUUGACGUUACCCGAAAAAGAAGCACCGGCUAACUCCGUGCCAGCAGCCGCGGUAAUACGGAGGGUGCUAGCGUUAAUCAGAAUUACUGGGCGUAAAGAGCACGUAGGUGGUUUUUUUAAAGUCAGAUGUGAAAUCCCUGGGCUUAACCUAGGAACUGCAUUUUGAAACUGAAAUACUAGAGUAUCGUAGAGGGAGGUAGAAUUCUAGGUGUAGCGGUGAAAUGCGUAGAUAUCUGGAGGAAUACCUGUGGCGAAAGCGGCCUCCUAAACGAAUACUGACACUGAGGGUGCGAAAGCGUGGGGAGCAAACAGGGAUUAGAUACC
This 459-nucleotide ribosomal RNA is filed under the name uncultured bacterium. RNAcentral describes it as "bacterial SSU rRNA". It matches the Rfam family "Bacterial small subunit ribosomal RNA", at positions 340 to 786 of the family's 1533-position model. The record is from RNAcentral.